This 465-nucleotide ribosomal RNA is filed under the name uncultured bacterium. RNAcentral describes it as "partial 16S ribosomal RNA". It matches the Rfam family "Bacterial small subunit ribosomal RNA", at positions 28 to 507 of the family's 1533-position model. The record is from RNAcentral.
GACGACCGCUGGCGGCGUGCUUAACACAUGCCAGUCGAACGGAAAUGCCCCUUUGGGGGUACCCGAGAGGCGAACGGGUGAGUAACACGUGAGUAACCUGCCCUCGACUUCGGGUUAAAUCCAGGCAACUGGGGCUCAUACCGGAUAGGCAUACUCGCUGCAUGGGGGGGGUUGGAAAGCUUCGGCGGUUUUGGAUGGACUCGCGGCAUAUCAGCUUGUUGGUGGGGUAGUGGCUUACCAAGGCUUUGACGGGUAGCCGGCCUGAGAGGGAGACCGGCCACAGUGGGACUGAAGUACGGCCCAGUGGCCGACGGUGGGCAGCAGUGGUGAAUGUUGCACUAUGGGCGGAAGCCGGAUGCAGCAACGCCGCGUGCGGGAUGACGGACUUCGGGUUGAGAUCCGUGUUCAGCAGGCGCGAAGCUUGUGGUGACGGUACCUGCAGAAGAAGCACCGGCUAACUACGUG